ACCCUCCUGAGUCUUAUUGCGCCAUUCCCACCUUUGGCAAUUACUGUACGAGUAGAUAGUGUUAUUACUCCAACGUUUGAAGUCAGCCCCUCUGCAUACCGCAGUCUGAGGAAGCCAUGUAUCGCGUUUGAGUCCGCCCCGACAACACCGAUAUCCGCAUUCGCUCAUGCGAUUGUGGGAUAAAGUAUAUAUUUACGUUCGUCUUUCGCAUCGGGGAAAUUUUCUUCGUUUCUGCCAGAGUCAUCAUUCUUCCUCGGCCGACAUGAGCUUACAAUCAAUCAAUUUUCGAGAUAAUUCAAGGCUAACGAGAUAUCAAAUUGUUGGAGCGGGGUGACCUUUAAAAAAAAGAAAAGAAAAACUUCGCACGGCCUCCCUCAUAACCCUAUUGGGUCGAUUCUUUUUUUAUGGAGCAGGAAAAAAAAAAGACUUUGUGCCACCUUCCGCUUGCGCAGAUGGAAAGCUAAAGCUUGAUUCGCGAAUCAACAAAUAAUGACCAGAAAUCUUUAAUCAGCUUCUGGCGCAACAGGUCCCUGCACUCCGAGUAUGUAAUCACAAUGCAUGGGCUUCCAAACGGCCAAAUUAGA
Molecule: small RNA, 584 nt
Filed under: Histoplasma capsulatum
Lineage: Eukaryota; Fungi; Ascomycota; Eurotiomycetes; Onygenales; Ajellomycetaceae
Also listed under: 1 other name
Description: hypothetical RNA
Source: RNAcentral